CAGAGUAUAGUUUAUUAAAAUAAUAAUUUUGGAGAUUAUAGAUAAAAGUAGUUUUUACUCUGA
RNAcentral lists this transfer RNA (63 nucleotides) under Tomicus yunnanensis. RNAcentral's name for it is "tRNA-Pro". Lineage: Eukaryota; Metazoa; Arthropoda; Insecta; Coleoptera; Curculionidae. The record is from RNAcentral.